AGUAACCAUUUUCAGAUGGUAGCUUCAAAGCUCAAAUCUCAGGCUGGUUUCUUGAAAAUGACAAAAAGUUUGUUGUACUCAAAGGGCCUCCACGGUUACCAGAUCAUCUUUGGGAUGUAGUGGAAUUGAAGAUUCAUAUCAUGGAUGUGGAACUGACAAAUCUGCAGCAACUGAGCAAUGCUGUCAUGUCAGUAUGGACCAGAAUCUACUAAUGUGAACAUCAAUUUUGUCUGUUCUAGACAUGAUUUGAACUCAAGCUCCUCUUAGUGACAGUUGGGAAUGCUGUGGCAGCUCAUUAAUCACCAGGACAGCCUGGAGGAGCUACACUUAAUCCCAUGAUGGUAUCCUCACCAUCCUCCACCGCUGCGGUUGCUCAUAAAAGUCAGUUCAAGGCAAGAAUAUUGGCAUUCAAAUUUGUGACUGCUGCUGUGAACAGAUGUCACCUCUGGCGAGUAAGGGUAAUGGCACCAGCAGUAAGGCAGGCCCACCCUGGCUCCUGGGGCUAAACAACAUACCACCACUGGGCUUCAGAGGGGGCAGAGGCAGGAGGGACAGCUUCAACAAGUGAACGUUUCACAAGCAUGCUCUCCGCAGUCCUUUUCCCUUCCCUGCAAUUAUCAUCAAAGAACAUCUGUUUGUUGUUCCUCAGGCACCCUCCCCUCACAAGUGUCCUAGCCUCACCUUGACCCAU
Molecule: long non-coding RNA, 691 nt
Organism: Oreochromis aureus
Lineage: Eukaryota; Metazoa; Chordata; Actinopteri; Cichliformes; Cichlidae
Source: Ensembl